RNAcentral lists this ribosomal RNA (497 nucleotides) under uncultured bacterium. RNAcentral describes it as "partial 16S ribosomal RNA". It matches the Rfam family "Bacterial small subunit ribosomal RNA", at positions 28 to 507 of the family's 1533-position model. The record is from RNAcentral.
GAUGAACGCUGGCGGCGUGCCUAAUACAUGCAAGUCGAGCGAACAGAUGAGGAGCUUGCUCCUCUGACGUUAGCGGCUGACGGGUGAGUAACACGUGGAUAACCUACCUAUAAGACUGGGAUAACUUCGGGAAACCGGAGCUAAUACCGGAUAAUAUAUUGAACCGCAUGGUUCAAUAGUGAAAUACGGUUUUGCUGUCACUUAUAGAUGGAUCCGCGCCGCAUUAGCUAGUUGGUAAGGUAACGGCUUACCAAGGCAACGAUGCGUAGCCGACCUGAGAGGGUGAUCGGCCACACUGGAACUGAGACACGGUCCAGACUCCUACGGGAGGCAGCAGUAGGGAAUCUUCCGCAAUGGGCGAAAGCCUGACGGAGCAACGCCGCGUGAGUGAUGAAGGUCUUCGGAUCGUAAAACUCUGUUAUUAGGGAAGAACAAAUGUGUAAGUAACUAUGCACGUCUUGACGGUACCUAAUCAGAAAGCCACGGCUAACUACGUG